GCUGGGCACGGUGGUGCGUGCCUGUAAUCCCAGCUACUCAGGAGGCUGAGGCAGGAGAAUUGCCUGAACCCGGGAGGUGGAGGUUGCGGUGAGCCGAGAUCGCGCCAUUGCACUCCAGCCUGGGUAACAAGAGCGAAACUCCAUCUCAAAAAAAAAAAAAAAAAAAAAAGAUGAGGGCUAAUUUUUUUUUUUUUUGAGAUGGAGUCUCACUCUGUUGCCCAGGCUGGAGUGCAGUGACGCAAUCUCUGCUCACUGCAACCUCUGCCUCCUGGGUUCAAGCAGUUCUCUGCCUCAG
Molecule: signal recognition particle RNA, 295 nt
Filed under: Callithrix jacchus (white-tufted-ear marmoset)
Lineage: Eukaryota; Metazoa; Chordata; Mammalia; Primates; Cebidae
Description: Metazoan signal recognition particle RNA (ENSCJAG00000086492.1)
Rfam family: Metazoan signal recognition particle RNA
About the family: The signal recognition particle (SRP) is a universally conserved ribonucleoprotein. It is involved in the co-translational targeting of proteins to membranes.
Source: RNAcentral